GACAUUUCCCAGCCCUUUGUUCUAAACAGACAGCAGUGAGGCAGCACAACCUAAGGGGGACUGCCCCACAGGUGCAGAAGGUGGGCAAUUAAGGAGACUGAAGAUCUGCUUGGCAGAGCAAGGCAACCUACUUUAUAGAGUGCUCAACAGGGACUUUGAAGAGGACCCUCAUCUUGCUGUGUCAGCCAUAAAAGCAGAGCAGAGCAAAGCAACUCUCUCCACUUUUUCCCCUUGACAGCCUUCAGCUGUGGAGGGGAGCUCACAGCUGAAGACCUGAUGGCCCCCACUAGGGCUGGAGGAGAAGUCCUUAGCUGGGUUAGGUUAGCUUGUGCCAAAAGGACAGGCUGCCUUAAUUCACCGUGCAGCCAAUGCAGAGAGGCAAGGCCUCGGUGUUGAUGCUCGGAUGAGAUCCCCUGUGCUUAGGAGAAGGUGGAGGUGGAGGCACUCAGAGGAAAACAAAGGAAUGGAAGGAACAGGUGGGUUCCAAGUAUAGCUAUAUAGAGCCACAGCAUAUUUGUCUUUUUCAUGCUUGUGCCUGCUCUAAUACCUGUUCUGCAUCCCAUGAGGCCUGCAUUCAACAACCAAGCUUUAGGUGACAAUUGGCUCCUUCCUCAGCCUUCCUAGUGAAGGAAGGUAAGGGACUUUGUGAGGAUUUUCUACAAGCUGAAGAAAAACAGCAGCAAAAGUUCUUCCCGGAGCCCAUGAGGGGAACAGGGCAGCUUUCAGGUGAGCAGUAAACUACUCUUGCAGAUCUGAAGCUGGCUUGAAGAUUAGGGUUGAACCAUCAAUUUUCUAUGUCUCAGAAGAAAGAGGAGCUCCCCAGGCACUACCUGGGGCCUUGGGUCUGCCCUGUGAGAGCUGAGCAGAGAAUCCACAGGAUGGAGAAGUCUUGACUAUGAUGUGCCCCUGAGAGGGGGUGUAUGUACCAUGGUUUCUGUGAAGUUACAGCUUGGAGGAAACAGUUUGGAUGGGUCUCUCGCUCUGCUGCCUUCUUGAUUAACUGCAAUCAACAAGGGGGAAGAGGACUUUGUACUGAAACCCUCUGCUCAAUACCUAGCAGCGAUUUUUGCUUUUUUUCCUUUCUUCUCCCUCUCGAAAAAUUAAAAAGUGUGAGGAUGCAUGAAGAUUGGAAUAGAAAUCAUUGACAAUCUUAUCAUACCACUGUAUAAAUCAAUAAUAUGCACUUGACUGGAAUAAUAGUGAUUGCUACAUCCUAUGAAAGCUAUAACAGGUUGAGGUGGGAUUUAAAACUUUGAGACCAACCUUUUUUAAAAGAUGCCCAGAUAAGCUAUGGGCUGCUUCAGUGAGCAGAAGUGGGCUGUGUCAAAGUCUCCAACUGCAGCCCUGGAGUUGAAGAAAAGAUUUCCAACAGGACAGUUCCAGCCUGGUACUCCUGUACUACAAACACACAUGAAAGGCAGAUGUUGUGGGAUGUGACUGUUGUAACCACGAGGGAGAGGACAAGUCUAGAGCUGAGAGCUUUGGAGUCGAACCUUGCUGUAAGCAUGAUAGUACCUUCAGUGCUAUUAAAAGAAGCUUCAGUUUGUGGAGGCAGACUCCAACUCAAGGUAUCUGUGCUGAGGGAUACGACCCUCUACUACUUCAACUGCAGCCUGAAUUUUAGAGGGAAUAGAAGGCAGGGAGAUAAACAACAAAGAAUGAUGGAGCAUCACUCAGUCUGUGAAAAUAUUUUUUCCCCUGUCUCAGCAUGAAAUAGCUCCAGUGGCUGAAGAACCGUGGUUGGAAGGUGGUGUGGCAAGGAUCUGGUUAGCUAGGCCUGAUGGUCACUCCCAAUGAAGCAUGUCUCUGGUUUUGCUCUUUCUAACACGGCAUUUUACACUGAUGCAAGGUCCUGGAGUGGUGGAUAGCUCUGUGCAGAUAGACCAACUACUUGGGUAGCUGGAGGGCAAAACUUCUGGCCACUCCAGCAUAAUCCUUGAUGGAAAAAUUUCCUCAACUGGAAAGAAGCCAGUCAGAGCUGUCCCAUCCUCGUCAAGGAUCAUCUAGGGAGAUGUGAGGGGGAAACAAACUCACAGGAGGAGAUGUGAGGAUGAUUGAGAAAGGGAUACAUAAGAAGAUACAGGAGGAGGAGGCACAUAGAAGAGAACAUUGUCAAAGAUGCAUCAUCUCAUGGGUGGCCCACACUAGAACAGGAAAUACCCAAAAGGAACUGCAGCUUGUGGACAACCUGGAUAGGAGACAAGCAGGAAGGAAGGAAGGGAGAAAGAAAACAGUAAGAAAUAAGAAGCUGCAGCAAGAAAGCAUCAUCUACCAACCCAGUCUCCUGAGCUGUCCAUCAUCUCGCCCAAGGGGUUUGCUGUGAGUAAGUCUUUGGGCUUUCUAAUCCUCCCUGAUUGUCUUUAAAGUAAUGAACCUUAAUAUGUUCCACAUGGCAGCUUUCCUUUACUGUGACAGCUGAGUUCAGCUGAAGAUCUGCUUCCUGCAUGUUCACAGAGGGAACAGGGAAGGGACUCCAAGAGAUCAGCUGAGCAACACUGUCUUGACGAGGUCUGAGGCAGCCGUGACGCAGCUGAACAAAUCUUCACCUCAAGCAGCCUGCUGUAUCAAGUUUAUAUGGGAGAACUGGGCUAUAAAAACUGCAACUCCGUGCUGCUACAACAGUGCUAAAGUGGCCAGAUGGAUGUCAACCUAGCAAUAUCAGGGCUCCCAAAUCUGUGCAGUGACAUCUGAUGGCAUAUUUAGUGCUGGUGCUCAGAUGGACUUUGCUGCAAUGUUUCUUGAACACAGCUGCUAGUCUGUGAGUUUUCUUUAUUAAUGAAUCACAAAGAGGCACUGGGACUGGAUGUAUAGUUAUAAGUGAUUGCUCUGCAAAUGUAUUUUUUCCUCUUUGGCUUCUAAAUUACCUGCUUAGUAUUUUAGGGUUUGCAAGUUGAUGGAAGGGCUGUGCCUAAGGGCCAUUUGAGCUUCUGGAAAUCUCCCCCAUAAAGAAGUUCUCUGUGAACCUUUUAGGGGUGAGUUUUGUUUGGGGGGUUCUGUGGAUGUCUGUCCAGAGGCUGUCAGUCGCUUUAUGACCAUAUGUUGGCAUCUGAUGUGAAGAUGGAUUCCAAAAAAUAUGCAAAGCGUGGUACCUGCUUGUACCUUUAAAGAGCUCAUGAAUCUUGAGCAUCCGUGCUCGGGUUUAUUUUAUAUCUUAGAAUGAAGUUUUCUAAGCAGGUGUUAUGCAAGGCCUGAGGUAGGGUAUGAGUUUCACUGAAUUUCAUGUGUCUUAGGCACUUCUGAAAAUAUCACUGGGUUUUGCAUAGUUCCUUUUAUUUCUAAGGCUCAAGGCAACUAUUUCCUAACCAACCAUCAACAUCAGCAAAUGCUCCUGUAAUUGUACUUUUGUUUAUUGCUUUAUUUGCAGACAAUUUUACUAAUUAUUUUUAAUAUAGCUUUUAUUUCUUUUUAAAGUUUACAUAUGAUAAUAGUAUUCAAACAUAGCAUUAGUAUCCAUCCAUUCUAUUUCUUAUACUCUUUUCUGUGAAAGUUGUGUGAACCUAUAGAAAAGCAACUGCACAAGCAGAAAAAUUAAUUUCAGCACAUGGAUUCAGAAAAAAACACCUAUGUUCUUUCUGAAAAUUUGUGGAGUGAUAGAGUCCUAAAAACAAGUGUCACGGUGUGAGGUAGUAAUCAAAAACCUGCUCUGCAGGAUGAAUUACACCUCAGAGUUUUCCUUAUGUGAGACCAUGGGAUGCGUGCUGGGUAAUUUCCUUAUGGGUGGAAGUAAAGAUGUGUGUUAGGUGUUCCAGUAUUAGGAUAUCUCUGGGGUGAGUUGCUGAAUAUCCCUGGUCCUUCACUCUUGGAUCAUCCCUGUUGCUGGUAAGUGUGAAUCAGGCAAUUGGUUCUGAGUGUAUGAUAUAAAUUUUCUGAGAUUAAUCUGCAGAGUCUCUUGCCAAGCAUCUAGUGCCUGCUAAGCUGUUUCCUGCAGAAGCCAGGUGGGCACUUGGCAAGAGCUGUGCAUUAACAGCAGGAAGUGCCAGUUCAGAUUGGAUCAUGUGCAACCCACCAACCACCCCAGUCCUGACAGUGCUGUUUGUAUAGAGAUGCUGUUCCACCACCACAGGGGCCUGGGGACUCUGGCACAUCCCAUUGCCACUUGAGGACACAGACUCUGGUGUUUUGGCAGCUGCAUACAGUAGUGAGUAAGAAAACACAGGCAGUGUCACUGUGGUGUCUGAGGGUUCAUCCGGGAGCUAAUGCUUUGCCCAGAAAGUAAGGAAUAAGUUUUUGUUGACAUUUCUACAUCAUCCACUCAGUUGAAGUACAGGAAAGUGAAGUUGCAUGUAUUUGGGAUGACACCAUUACAUGCAUGGAAUUAGGAUCCGUUUUCCCAUUUAUCUCCAACUUAUGCCUCACAGUCCAAGUUGUGCAUGGUCUUUAAUGAUUCUCAGCUUCACAUUUCUAAGAUCUCACCUAAGUGUGCCUUGGAGGAUGUACUAAACUCUGACUCACAAUCAAGGCAAAUUUCAGCAUCCUAGAAAGCUUGGGCCACGACUCCAAACAUGGCACUGGCUACACAAAAAAAGCUGUGUUCAGGAUGCACCUCUGAGUGUCUCUUUGCAGUAAGUGACCAUGGGCACAGCAAGUUAUUUUAAGGCUUUGAGUGGCUGCUGUUCCUGCUGUUCCUUAGAACCUGGCAUCAGCCAAGUAAUGCUGUAGCUGUGGGUUGGAGGGCUCCUACAGAGACCACAUAUCAGAGGAAAAGGAGAGAGAGAGAUCAGCAUCUAGCUUUUUAUGAUGUGCUUCAUUCUUGUGUCGUGUCAUUCCUGCUUUCUCCUCUUGCCUGUUUUUUGCUUUCUCUUUCACAGCUCUAAUGUCUGUUUGUUAAAAUAAUCUUUUUUUCUCUGCAUGAGCUUCUGUCAUUAGAUGAAAGGUCAUGGAUAUAAUAUGAAUCUGGAACAAUAAACACAGAGCAAAAUGGAUUGAAAUAUACAGAGCAAAGGGUUACCAAUUAAAAAACACUUUGCCAAGCUUGCACUGAACAGACAGCCAUGCAGCCUCUAAUUUCUCUUUGUUUAUAAUUAGCUGCCAUUGAAACUUAAUUACUUUCAGGACUGAAAUAAGUGAAAAUUAAAAUAAAAAAGGGAAUUAAUCUUUUACUGAAAGGUAUCUGCAUAGCAUCCGUUCCAUGGGCACAGAAGACAAAUUCAGGUUCUUCAUAUCUGGAAAUCAGAGAUGGAAAAGCGGUAUGUGAGUAAAUCUGUUAUCUUGGAUGUGUUCUUGAGUUGCUUUGAAAGCUCUGCCUCUGAAGUCUAUAUUCCAAAGGUAUAUGGAUAUUCUUUUCCAGCUGAGGUUCCUGAUGUGCCAGUAUGAUGUGAAGGAUAGGUACUGCAGAAAGCCAGAAGCUCUGCUCCCCAUUCAAGAGCAUCUCCACACGUCCCCUUCCAGCAGGCCAUUCCCACAUAGUUCAGAGAACCUUCCUUCAGGGAUUCAUCAGUCCUGAGUGCCUUAAAUGAUGGUGGUCUAAUGACUUCUCUUUUCCUAUCCAGCUAGCUGAAUUUUAAAAUUAGUUAUUUGGGACUAUGUUUCCUGAAUUAAUUAUUUUCACCUCUUUUAGCCUGCUCACGAGAGAGACAUGAGUUGUUACAGUGCACGAGUUUCGGAUAUCUACAUAUAAGGGUUUCCCACAACCAUCCAUUUUGCUGGGAUUUCUAUUCCAGUUAGAGCACACAUCAAUCACAAAUGUAUUGUUUUGGGCAGUUGGAUGUUUCUAUAUGCAAGUGACAGUAUAGUUAACUCUUCUAAAAUUCAGUCCUCUUGUACUUAAGAAUAUGGAUAAGCCAUAAUUCUGGUGGGGGGUUGGGAAAACCAUCAAAGAACUAAAGGCUGGGAUUUCUAGUGCUGGUUGUUAUUGAUGCCCCUGUUUUUAGAGCCCCACACUUGAAAGUUAAGAAAGCAGUGUUUCCUCUUGGCAAUUCUUGCUGUGCUUUCAAUGGAUAAAACUUUCAGUGUGUUUUCAAGUUGGGCAUCUGGAAAAGCAUGCAUGCUUUCAAGUUUUCAAGACUUGAAUCAGUCUCCACAAGGGACUGUGUGCAUCUCCUUUGAGAUAAGCUGCAAGAAUCUUGGAGAGGGAGAAAUGGCUUCUACACAGGUAGCAAAUUAAACUUCCAAUGCAAAGAAGGCAGGCAUAAGUCUCUCAUUCCUCAUAUUCACCCAAGAUCCAUGAAUCAAGCAAAUAGAUAUUUUCAUCUGUCACAUGAUUAUUAAUUAUAUCAGUAGACUACCCUCCAUGGCAGUGGAAGUCUUUGUAUAUUUAAGAGAACAUGACAGGUUGUGUUAAUUCCAGGCAAAAAUCAUGUUCCCACUCCUUCAGCAUGAGGAAUAACCUUCAAAAUGCAAACGAGUUUUGUUCUUCAAAAAGCACAAGAUCUUAAUGGUGAUUUUUGAGAUAAAGGGAAGCCCUUUUGAAUCUAACUGGUAUAUGAGGACUGUUUCUACAGCAUUACAUUUAGGACUUCCCUUCUUUUUUUGGCACCAUAGUAUGGAAAUUCUCAUAAGAAAGAAGAUUUGAGUCUGAUUUUUAAGUAGAAAAUGGAGAAAUGCUUUAAUAGGGCAAAUGCUUUAAUAGGGCAGAGGAGCAAUAGAGGAAAAUUUAGGAAAAAUGCAGUAGGCUUGUUAUAUAACUGUAUAUAAUAUCCCAACUGUUGGUAACUUUUACCACCACCCAAAGCUGAAACCAAGACCUACAAAGCAGACUUGUGGGAAACAAUAGCUAGUGACAGGAAUAUAGGUAAUGGGUUCAAGGAAGGAGCUGCUCCGUAGAGAAAUAGACACUGGUAGCUUGUGAUAUUUUUGUCUGGGGAAAGAAGCGGGGUUUGUAGUCCUAGUAACUAGCUACUGUUUUUGUUUUCUUGGUAUGGCUUUGUAGGAGAAGAAUGUGCAAGCAUCUGGACCACCUAUCCAUCCUCUGACCUCUACUGCCAGUGUUAUUAACUACUGUUAUACAAAAGUGUAAUGACAUAUAGGUUCAUUCUCCCUGGUUACAGUUCUGGCACUACUUCUACAAAGUUUUGGAUGGGUCCAUUAGACCUCCUUGUAGGCUGCUUCCAGCUUUUUUUUCUAGACAGAGAGCUAAGUGAGAUAUCCUUAAUUCUUCCCAACAAUAGAAAAAGGGCAGCCUGCCAUUUGAGGAGCCAGGCUUCCUUUGAGCCAGAGAAGCAUGGGCAUUCCUAUGCCAGAUGAGUAGGGUUCUUGGGGAAGGUGGCUGGGGGAAGCUUUUGGAGGGCCAGGAGGGAAGUACAGCAAUUUCAUUUCACUUGGAGUCACCAUGGCAGCAAAUUACUUCUCCUUCCUUCCUCCACCUUCUUUAAAAAGAAAAUGGGGAGUAACAAUGGCAAGCAUGGCCUUCAGCUAGAGUGAGCAGUAGAAACUCAUUUACAGCUGAAAAAUAUAUAGAAAAGAAGUCAGGAAACCAUGGAAUGAUUUGUAAAAGGAGCAUGGUUUUCUUGUUUGCUGCUCCAUUCACUGUCUUCUCUGUUAAUCUCUGAGAAGAGAGACAGGCCAUUUUCUGAGCCAAGAACAAUUUACCUGUGUGCUGGCACACAGUUAAGAGCAAUUUAGAAAACAACAAAAAAAAUCACAUUCCAAAUUAACAUUUAGCUGGUGACAUUAAGGGAAUUCUUUUUUUCUCUUUUCCCCUCCCAUUCAGAAGUUAAAAAGCAGGAUCCUUCUUGCUCCCUGAACGGAUCAGAGGAGCAUGCUGCUUACAGAGAUGGGGUGUGAGGUGCCCUGAAGGAAUGAAGAAGCUGACCCUUGCAAGGCAUUUAUGGGUGCAGAGUCCCAUGGGUGCAUGUUUGGCACAUGUUGCUAGCAUAGACAAUCUGGCCCUCUGGGCAUGUUGGCACUUCAGGUAUCCCAGUACAGGCGCUUCUGUGGGGAGAUGCAGCUGCACAUGUGAAAAUUGUGGGGUGUGUUUGAACUCACCUCUGACAUCUUGAUCCUCGUGCAUUUCCAUUCAGGUGCAGGCAUUACUCUGAAAUGUUGAGAAUCCCCCAUACUGGAGUUUUUGCACCAGUGCUGACAUUGUGACUCUGAUGUUUCAGCAUCCUUUCACAUUAUUGUAGUAUAGAUAUUACUAAGAAAUUAGUGCCACUAACGCUAGGACUUAUACUUUUUAAGCCAUGAGUUUUUGCCAGCAAGAUUGUUAGCUGUUUUAGAGAGAAGGAGGAUUAUAACCAGAAUUCCUCCUUGAUAUGGAGAAAGAGUCUUGGAUCAGUAGGUGAGAAAGCUGUUCCUCCCUUCCCAUCCACCUCUGGUACCCCCAUAAGUAAAGCAGUGUCCAAGGAAUCAUGUGAGCAUAUAAUUUCCAGCUGCUGAUGCAUUCACCUUUCCUCUGGCCUCUCUUCAGCAAUUCCAUAAAGCAUGUAUGGCUGCAAGCUGGACUGGAGAUAACAGAUUCUCCUAAUUCUUCAAAUUACUUUUCAAUAUGACACUGCCAGGAGGUAGAAAACUCAUCUCCUAAAUCUCACAACCUUAUGGGGAGCUGAAGCUACAUGGGAGUCUCCCAAUCCAAUGACCAAAGCACAUCUUUGAAGCUCUUCUUGGGACAGGAUUGGGCCUGCUGCCAGGUCCAGUAUCCAUUUGGCCUAUGUGGCCAUGAUGUGACACAACAUGUGUCCCAGCCUCUGCAGAGAAGUUUGGUGUGAUGGUCUCAGGAGUCAUAAACUGGCUGCCUUGAAAGAAUGGUAUGGCCUCUGCCACCAGUGCUUUCUUGCUUUACUGAACAACAAGAAAUGUCUUGCCAACAUAUCAGCAUCUGGUAGGAAUGCUUGGAGCAAGUCAGGAUAACCUUACUUGUCUCUGUCGGUGGAGAAAGCAUAUGCCCUGCAAUAGCCCAUGCACCACCUUCUCCCUGGGUAAGAAGGGUAUCCCCUUCUGCCUGCCAGCUCUGAACUCCCUCAAACCCACAUCAAGGUCAAUACCUGACAUGAGCCAACCAGUGACAUAGAGCCUGGUGAAGCUGGGAGAAAGGGAAAAAGCCAAGCUGUUUAGAUGGAAUGGAGUAUGGUCUCUUCAUGGGGCUGGGACAGUCUCACCUCCACCCAAGGGGAUGCUUGUGCAAAAGUGUUAGGAGCUAGGCAUGAGAGUCAUCCUAAAUCUGUUCAGCUGUGCUCACCACAACACCAGGGACCAGGAAAGCUGACCAGAUGGUUCUCUCUUUUCUUACAGGCCUGAAGGGCUUGUAGGCAUGUGGGUGGCAGCAUUCUUUUUGU
Molecule: long non-coding RNA, 9212 nt
Organism: Passer domesticus (house sparrow)
Lineage: Eukaryota; Metazoa; Chordata; Aves; Passeriformes; Passeridae
Exons: 6
Source: RefSeq, a predicted model, not a curated record